RNAcentral lists this ribosomal RNA (1025 nucleotides) under Staphylococcus aureus USA_1. Its description in RNAcentral is "bacterial SSU rRNA". It matches the Rfam family "Bacterial small subunit ribosomal RNA", at positions 8 to 1014 of the family's 1533-position model. The record is from RNAcentral. Lineage: Bacteria; Bacillati; Bacillota; Bacilli; Caryophanales; Staphylococcaceae. RNAcentral also lists the same sequence under 2 other names.
AGAGUUUGAUCCUGGCUCAGGAUGAACGCUGGCGGCGUGCCUAAUACAUGCAAGUCGAGCGAACGGACGAGAAGCUUGCUUCUCUGAUGUUAGCGGCGGACGGGUGAGUAACACGUGGAUAACCUACCUAUAAGACUGGGAUAACUUCGGGAAACCGGAGCUAAUACCGGAUAAUAUUUUGAACCGCAUGGUUCAAAAGUGAAAGACGGUCUUGCUGUCACUUAUAGAUGGAUCCGCGCUGCAUUAGCUAGUUGGUAAGGUAACGGCUUACCAAGGCAACGAUGCAUAGCCGACCUGAGAGGGUGAUCGGCCACACUGGAACUGAGACACGGUCCAGACUCCUACGGGAGGCAGCAGUAGGGAAUCUUCCGCAAUGGGCGAAAGCCUGACGGAGCAACGCCGCGUGAGUGAUGAAGGUCUUCGGAUCGUAAAACUCUGUUAUUAGGGAAGAACAUAUGUGUAAGUAACUGUGCACAUCUUGACGGUACCUAAUCAGAAAGCCACGGCUAACUACGUGCCAGCAGCCGCGGUAAUACGUAGGUGGCAAGCGUUAUCCGGAAUUAUUGGGCGUAAAGCGCGCGUAGGCGGUUUUUUAAGUCUGAUGUGAAAGCCCACGGCUCAACCGUGGAGGGUCAUUGGAAACUGGAAAACUUGAGUGCAGAAGAGGAAAGUGGAAUUCCAUGUGUAGCGGUGAAAUGCGCAGAGAUAUGGAGGAACACCAGUGGCGAAGGCGACUUUCUGGUCUGUAACUGACGCUGAUGUGCGAAAGCGUGGGGAUCAAACAGGAUUAGAUACCCUGGUAGUCCACGCCGUAAACGAUGAGUGCUAAGUGUUAGGGGGUUUCCGCCCCUUAGUGCUGCAGCUAACGCAUUAAGCACUCCGCCUGGGGAGUACGACCGCAAGGUUGAAACUCAAAGGAAUUGACGGGGACCCGCACAAGCGGUGGAGCAUGUGGUUUAAUUCGAAGCAACGCGAAGAACCUUACCAAAUCUUGACAUCCUUUGACAACUCUAGAGAUAGAGCCU